RNAcentral lists this microRNA precursor (103 nucleotides) under Marmota monax (woodchuck). The record is from RNAcentral. Lineage: Eukaryota; Metazoa; Chordata; Mammalia; Rodentia; Sciuridae.
AGUGGAAUAACUGGGCCAAAUGGUGGACCCAUUCCAAGUUUUCUGAGGAAUCUUCAUGCUGCUUUCCAGAGUGGUUGCACCAAUUUGACAUCCCACCAGCAAU